AACGAACGCUGGUGGUAUGCUUAAUACAUGCAAGUCGAACGGGCAUAGCAAUAUGUCAGUGGCAAACGGGUGAGGAAUAUAUAGGAACCUCCCUAGCAGUAAGGAAUAACUUUGGGAAACCAAAGCUAAUGCCAUAUAUUACCCCUUAAGAAAUUAAGGGGGAAAGAUUUAUCGCUGUUAGAUGGGCCUGUAUCAGAUUAGCUAGUUGGUAGGGUAAUGGCCUACCAAGGCAAUGAUCUGUAGCUGGUCUGAGAGGAUGAUCAGCCACACUGGAACUGAGACACGGUCCAGACUCCUACGGGAGGCAGCAGUAGGGAAUAUUGGACAAUGGGGGGAACCCUGAUCCAGCCAUGCCGCGUGUGUGAAGAAGGCCUUAUGGUUGUAAAGCACUUUAAGCGAGGAGGAGGCUACUCUAGUUAAUACCUAGGGAUAGUGGACGUUACUCGCAGAAUAAGCACCGGCUAACUCUGUGCCAGCCGCCGCAGUAA
RNAcentral lists this ribosomal RNA (488 nucleotides) under uncultured bacterium. RNAcentral describes it as "partial 16S ribosomal RNA". It matches the Rfam family "Bacterial small subunit ribosomal RNA", at positions 29 to 523 of the family's 1533-position model. The record is from RNAcentral.